Molecule: ribosomal RNA, 450 nt
Filed under: uncultured bacterium
Lineage: Bacteria
Description: partial 16S ribosomal RNA
Rfam family: Bacterial small subunit ribosomal RNA
Source: RNAcentral
GUGGGGAAUAUUCCGCAAUGGACGAAAGUCUGACGGAGCAACGCCGCGUGAGUGAUGAAGGUUUUCGGACUGUAAAGCUCUGUUGUUUAGGACGAAAAUGCCUGUUGCGAAUAGUUACAGGUAUUGACGGUACUGAACGAGGAAGCCACGGCUAACUACGUGCCAGCAGCCGCGGUAAUACGUAGGUGGCAAGCGUUGUCCGGAAUUAUUGGGCGUAAAGAGCAGGUAGGCGGGAAUAUGAGUCUGUUUUGCAAAUGCUGGGCUCAACCCCGUAUUGCGAUGGAAACUGGGUUUCUUGAGUGCAGGCGAGGAAAGGGGAAUUCCCAGUGUAGCGGUGAAAUGCGUAGAUAUUGGGAGGAACACCAGUGGCGAAGGCGCCUUUCUGGACUGUGUCUGACGCUGAGAUGCGAAAGCCAGGGUAGCGAACGGGAUUAGAAACCCGGGUAGUCC